This 305-nucleotide ribosomal RNA is filed under the name uncultured bacterium. RNAcentral describes it as "bacterial SSU rRNA". It matches the Rfam family "Bacterial small subunit ribosomal RNA", at positions 335 to 657 of the family's 1533-position model. The record is from RNAcentral.
UAUCCUACGGGAGGCAGCAGUGGGGAAUAUUGCACAAUGGGGGGAACCCUGAUGCAGCAAUGCCGCGUGGGUGAAGAAGCACUCCGGUGCGUAAAGCCCUGUCAGCAGGGAAGAAAAUGACAGUACCUGGACAAGAAGCCCCGGCUAACUACGUGCCAGCAGCCGCGGUAAUACGUAGGGGGCAAGCGUUAUCCGGAUUUACUGGGUGUAAAGGGAGCGCAGGCGGCGUGGCAAGUCAGAUGUGAAAACCCGGGGCUCAACCCCGGGACUGCAUUGGAAACUGCCGGGCUGGAGUGUCGGAGGGG